Molecule: ribosomal RNA, 450 nt
Filed under: uncultured bacterium
Lineage: Bacteria
Description: bacterial SSU rRNA
Rfam family: Bacterial small subunit ribosomal RNA
Source: RNAcentral
GUGGGGAAUAUUGCGCAAUGGGGGCAACCCUGACGCAGCGACGCCGCGUGAGCGAUGAAGGCCUUCGGGUCGUAAAGCUCUUUCAGGUGGGAAGAACCCUCCGACGGUGAAAGCCGUCGGAGCUGACGGUACCACCAGAAGAAGCACCGGCUAACUCCGUGCCAGCAGCCGCGGUAACACGGAGGGUGCGAGCGUUGUUCGGAAUCACUGGGCGUAAAGGGCGUGUAGGCGGCUUGGUAAGUCGGAAGUGAAAUCCGAUGGCUCAACCAUCGAACUGCUUUCGAUACUGCCUGGCUUGAGUACGGGAGAGGAGAGCGGAAUUCCCAGUGUAGAGGUGAAAUUCGUAGAUAUUGGGAAGAACACCAGUGGCGAAGGCGGCUCUCUGGACCGAUACUGACGCUGAGACGCGAAAGCGUGGGGAGCAAACAGGAUUAGAAACCCCAGUAGUCC